CUAGGGACUCAGAAAAAGGAGUUUGGUGGCUUGGGGGUACCCAAUUUGAGAUAGUUUAACAUGGCCUUGUUAGCCCCUUGGGCUAAAAGGUACUUUAUGGAUAGUGAUAAAAACUGGGUGAGAUUGAUAGACCAUAAAUACAGAACUAACAAACCUAAUUUGUUGUGGUCAAAACAGGGUGUGGGAUCUCCUUUUUGGAAAGGCAUUACUUGGGCUUUUGAAGGUGUUAGGCCUUUUUUUAGAUGGAACUUGGGCAAUGGCAAUAAGAUCAGCUUCUGGGAUGACACCUGGGUUGGGGACUCUUCUCUAAAAACUCAAUUCUGGGAAGUUUAUGAAAUUUGUCAACAGCAACAAUGUGUGGUCUCAGAGGUGUGGGAUGGUUUCAAUCUGAAACUCACCUUCAGCAGGUGUGUGGGCGCUGAGUUUAUGGAAAAGUGGCACGACCUGAUCCGGGUCAUUUCUACCAAAAAUCUGACCAACGAGGAAGACCACCCCGUUUGGUUGUUGGAACCAUCAGGGGUCUACUCGGUCAAAUCCUUUUACAAUGUGAUCAACUGGGGGGGGGGGGUUCUACCCCCAUCUGGAAAAAAAUUGGAAAAUUGUGGUGCCUCACAGAUACCUAGUCUUUUUGUGGAUGGCUUAUAA
Molecule: ribosomal RNA, 645 nt
Filed under: Triticum aestivum (bread wheat)
Lineage: Eukaryota; Viridiplantae; Streptophyta; Magnoliopsida; Poales; Poaceae
Description: partial small subunit ribosomal RNA
Source: RNAcentral